Molecule: long non-coding RNA, 909 nt
Organism: Gallus gallus (chicken)
Lineage: Eukaryota; Metazoa; Chordata; Aves; Galliformes; Phasianidae
Exons: 7
Source: RefSeq, a predicted model, not a curated record
AUGACAGCAUAGACAACAGCUGGAGAAGCCUCUCUCUCUUUAGCAACUACAGAAAGAGACACAGAAUCUCAGUAGAUUGGACUUUUAUCUUCUACAAACCUAAACAGAUGAAUUCACCUUCAAGAGUUAGGCUUCAGGCUCUGGAAUUGCACUCCAGUGAGCAGACAGCAGCAAAAUGGAAAAAAACAACCAAACCUUUCCUCAACAAACCUCAGACUGCAAGACAUGAACUGCCAGUGAUUUGCAGAAAACUUUCUAGCAGACUCUGCCAUCAGCUAACAUGUGUGCAAUCCAUCUCUUCCUACCAUGUGUCAUCAGUGAAUUGGAAGGUUUAUUCAUGCUCUGUGCUAUACUCCCUCAGCCGUCUCACAGAGAAGCUAUAAGACUACCUUGCAGAAUGAGCAUUAACUCCCACAAUUUAACAGCUGAAGUCUUAACAUAGCCAGUGACUUCUUUCUCUGAAAUGCUACUGAAAUGAAAUAGAUGUGAACAAGAACACCUAAAGGAAGUCAGACUUUCUACAAGAUUGAACGCUGUGUCUCAGCAGAGAUUGGAUAGAAACUGUGAACUGAGAAGUAUAUAUAACAAGGAGUUUGAUUUCCUCUUUCCCGAGACUCCUGGAACAGAGUAAUCAGCACAUGUUUGGUAUAUGUAUGACAACAAUAACAAGAUAGCAUCUUUCAUCCAAACUCAGAGAAUAAUGCGGAAGCAUUAAGGUUUACAGCACCUCUGUGAGGUUGGCAAGAGGUAUCCAGAGACGUUUUCACCAAUGGAGUGUUUUUUCCAUGUAUUUGUCACUGACUGUCACUGAUCACUCCCACAACUGGAGUGUGACUACUGAGGGCUAGAAGCUCUUCAGAAGGGACAGGCAAGGAAGGAGAGGAGGAGGGGAGGAAACGUUACUCUCUA